GGGUGGAUGCCCGAGUGGUUAAUGGGGGCGGACUGUAAAUCCGCUGACUAGCGUCUACGAUGGUUCAAAUCCAUCUCCUCCCA
RNAcentral lists this transfer RNA (83 nucleotides) under Fibrobacter sp. RNAcentral describes it as "tRNA-Tyr". It matches the Rfam family "tRNA". Rfam says of the family: Transfer RNA (tRNA) molecules are approximately 80 nucleotides in length. Their secondary structure includes four short double-helical elements and three loops (D, anti-codon, and T loops). The record is from RNAcentral. Lineage: Bacteria; Pseudomonadati; Fibrobacterota; Fibrobacteria; Fibrobacterales; Fibrobacteraceae.